AGUUUUUCCGCUACCAACCUCAGAUGCUAGAUAUGCUGUGGCAAUGUCUCAGACAGCCACAGAGAGAGAGUGAGGUACUGCAUGUGUGCUAAUGAACAAGAAGAGAACUACAGGAACUGACAGUUGGAGGAGUGUGAACCAUAUUCACGAACACUCACACUUUCACACGCUAAACUACAAUGCAUCAAGCAACAGACUACACUCUCCUGGGAGCAUCAGGAGGGACAUCACCACCUGCACUGCCCAUCAAACAGCGCAGGAGCAGGUCUUCUUCAAGCUCCAUCCAAGAUCUAGAGCUGAAGAUGGGAGAUCUACACUUGCCUGGACCUCAGACCCCAGUGUCUCCAUUUAGUGAAGUAUUCACUCCUACUUACUGUAAUGCAGUCCACUGUCCAAUACAUCAUCGCUACGAAAAUCACCAGGUGAGAUUCUUCUCACAUGAAAUUCCUCCUCCAGUACCCAAAAAGAGUCUGACGAGAACCCUAUCCCUUCCAGCGGAGACUCUGGACCCACCUUACCAUGAUCAUACAAGAACCUGCAACUAUGAAAAUCCCCUAUACAUGAUAGCACCAUUCCAUGACACACUUAAACUACAAGAGGAAGAGGUACAAGUGGAGGAAUAUCAGGGUUUGUCCAUGCACAAGGUGACCUUUGAUACACCAGAUGAGCAACUUCAAAGUGUCUUCAGAAGCUUCCACAGCCAUGAGCAAUUUCCCAUGGGCAUCCAAGAAUGUUAUCUUCAGUUUCUCAAGAACACGUUGCAGAGCAUUGAAUCGAGCCUCUUCCUAAAUGAACAGGAAAUGGAGAUAGCAAAGACUUCUCAGCCUAAUGACUUUAUUUUGUGUGAGCAGCAGUGGACUGAGAUGGAUGCUUUCUACUUGGUGUGUUGUCUGAAGGUUCCUGGGAAACUGUUUUCAGCAAAGGUUCACAAAGGGGAUUCAGUAUCAGACUGCACCAUGUCUAUGCCACAUCCUAACGUUGAGCAAGGCUUGGUCCAUUUUCCACAAUGUACAGCUACAGAUCAAACUUCCAUCUCACAGCAUGUUCAGACAACUCCAGAGCCUUCACAUGGGGACACCACUGAAGUAUGCCAACAGAAAACAGUUGCUGAUCUUCUGGAGAAUGGUGUUAGUGUGACUGUGGUAAGAGACUUUCCAUUGGGAACACUGGAGGACUUUGUUGAGGAAGGACACUCUUUGCACUCCACCCUUCCUGAGGUUUAUGAGAGGAGGCUUUGUCUUCUUGCCCUCCAGUUGGUACUAGGACUACAGCAACCGGGACGUUUUAAAGUCAUUCACAGGGAACUGAAACCACAGAGUAUUACAUUAGUGUGGCCUAGUAUCAUGCGCAAAGUGGCUGACUCUAGGGAUUACCCUAGUAAGAUGAAAAAGGGAAGCAUGAAUACAGACACUUCUACAGGUACACCUGUGAUCACAGUAUCCACAGAGCAAACAGACAACGAGAGAACGAAAACCUUAUGGGAGAAGUGGGGCACCCCUCGUUUGGUCCUGAAGAGCCAUUUUGAGGAUGAAGUUUUGCAAGAAGCACCAUCCCAAGAGUUCCAGUUGGGGACUUUGCUGAGGUACUGCCUACAUCUCACCGACAGUUGCUCAUCUGUGUGGAAGGUGCCACAAGAC
Molecule: long non-coding RNA, 1637 nt
Organism: Sinocyclocheilus grahami
Lineage: Eukaryota; Metazoa; Chordata; Actinopteri; Cypriniformes; Cyprinidae
Product: tyrosine-protein kinase SgK223-like
Source: Ensembl